Molecule: microRNA precursor, 249 nt
Filed under: Prunus dulcis (almond)
Lineage: Eukaryota; Viridiplantae; Streptophyta; Magnoliopsida; Rosales; Rosaceae
Description: sRNA ncRNA
Source: RNAcentral
UCCUUUAAUAAGGUUCCCCGACAAAGUAAAAGUUACAACACUCAAUAAAAGCAAAAGCUUUCGCGUGCUUCUACAGUCAUCAUCCAGAGCAUCCAAAGUUGCCCAUAGUCUACUUUAUCUGUCUAUUUAAGAAGGCUUCGGCCUCAGUUAUCCUCAGAAUAAAUGGAGGAUGACUGUAGAAGCACGCGAAAGCUUUUGCUUUUACUGAGUGCUGUAACUUUUACUUUGUCGAGGAUCCUGACUAAAGGA